Non-coding RNA from Danio rerio (zebrafish), 54 nucleotides. The record is from Rfam. Lineage: Eukaryota; Metazoa; Chordata; Actinopteri; Cypriniformes; Danionidae.
UGAACUAACCCUUGUAAGUCGCUUUGGAUAAAAGCGUCUGCUAAAUGACUAAAU